RNAcentral lists this long non-coding RNA (4333 nucleotides) under Homo sapiens (human). Its description in RNAcentral is "long non-coding RNA NONHSAT194265.1". Lineage: Eukaryota; Metazoa; Chordata; Mammalia; Primates; Hominidae. The record is from RNAcentral.
UUAUCUUUGUGCUAUGACGGGACUCCACUGGAGAACAUCAAUCAGAUCAGGGUGGGCCGGUCUCAUCUCACAAUAGGACAUCUCUAUUCUAUAGAGUUUCCCUGCCAAGAAAACUCAUUGGACGCUUUGGUUCUGGCAAUAAUUCCUGAUCUAAUCAGUUCUGACUGGGAUGGCAGUGUGACAUGGUACAGAGCACUGUUUCCUCAGAGUAAGGAAACUCUGGACUGUGGUUCACUUUGCUUCGAGAGCUCUUUCCCAGAGACACACGGCUCUCCCCCUCACUUCCUUCAUGUCUUUGCUCAAAUAUUCUUUUUUCAGGAAGCUCUUCCCUGACCACCCUGUUUAAAAUUUAGCUCCCCACCUUUCUAACACUAGCCUGUGCCCAGGAAGUCACUCUCUUUCCUUCCUUCUUCUACUUCAUUUUUCUUCUGAAUUUCUAUGAACAUUGGGUAAAGUAUAUAGUCUUCUCAUUUACUUUGUAUAAUGUCUGUUUCCCUCCAUUAGAAUAUAAACUCCGCAAGUACAGGGAUAUUUUCUUUUCCUAUACUGGCUCUUUUUCUACUAUUGGGUACCCAGAGCCUAGGAUAGUGCCUGACAUAUGGUAGCCAUCCAAGAAAAACUUAACGACUAAAAGUGAUUUCACUGACAAGGUGCUGUAGCAAAAUUAAAGAUGAUGCUAACAUUGUAAAAUAUUGACUACCACUCCAGUAUGGUGUAGCAAACCUACAGAUCAACUAGUCCAAAUAAGAGGGGGAGGAAGAAGUCCACAAAAGAAAAUUUCCAGAAAACAAAACUCAGAGCAAUAUCUGAUUAAAUAUAAAAUUUUUGGGGUGGAAAGAAAUUGAAUGUAUGAUAAAGAUAGUGCAAAAAAUAAAAGCAAAGAAUUAGAAACUUUGGGGAAGAUUAUAAAGGAAAAGAGGCAUAAUCAAAAUAUAUUAGUAGGUAUUGCAAAGCAAAAUAAUUCUAUAGAUGGUGGUGGAAAGACAGCAAGAUGGCUCACAAUUAUUCUUGUCUCCUAGUACUCAUGGUUUUGUGUCAUCUCCUUCCCUUGAGGCAAGAACUGUGAUUUGCUUCUAACCAAUAAAAAAUGGCAAAAGUAACAGGAUGCUAUUUCCAUGGUUAUAUCACAUAAGAUUGUAAUGUCUGUCUUGUCAGCUGACUCUAUCCCAUCCUGGCUUUGAUGAAGUAAGCUGCUGUGAUGCAAACUGCUCUCUGGAGAGGUGACAAACCUAAGGCAGGCUUUGGACAAUACCUAGGAAGAAACUGAGACCCUCAGUCCUACAACCUGCAAAGAACCAAAUUCUGCCAACAACCAAACAACCAUAUGAGCUUGAAAGCAGAUUCUUCCUGAGCUGAGCCUUGACAGAAGAAUACAUCUCAUACCUAAGUCUUGAUUGCAGCCAGAUGAGAGACUCUGAAGCAGAGGAUUCAGCUACUCUGUGCCCAGACUCCUGACUCACAGAAACUGUGAGCUAACAAUGUAUGGUAUUUUAAGCCACCAAGUUUGCGGUAAUUUGUUAUGAGCAGUAGAUAACUAACAUGCUGCUACAAUAAUUUCGAUACUUUUCAUUAAUUUAUGUCUUUGAGAAUCAGUCUACAGACAGAAUACAAAGAAGAAUGGAUAUGAAAAUGCAACAGUAUUUUAAGUCUUUUCAAACUCAGCGUCGUGAAAGUAAGAAAUUGGGGUGUGGAGUGGAUGUGGGAAGUAGAGAAGAAAUGGUAGGUAAUAGUGCUUAUAGGUUCAUUUUAUAAUGUGAGGAGUCAGCUUUAUGUAACAAGGAAUAAAGGCGUAGAUCUAUUAUGUAAAUUUACAAAAGGAAAAAAGUGGGUGAAGUAAAAAUAUUAUGAAUAAAGAAGAUGGGAUACUUUGAGUGAACCAAAGUAGCAUUUCUCAGGGAAGGAAGUUAAUAGAAUGCUACAUGAUAAAGCAAUAUGGUAGAAACCUGUUAGUGAGAUAGCUGGAAGUAACUAGCAGUAGAAACAACGACUAGAGUUGAAAGUAGUUGCCUCUUGUCAUAAGAGAAUGAAGCAAUAGGGUGUUAAUUUUCAUUUUCCCUAUAAACUAGGUCAUUUGAAACCUUAUAUAUAUUUUACUUUAAAAAUUAUAAUGAAAAUAAAUACACAAAAUGUGAAUUAUAUUAUUUAAAUCAUAAAUUAGAAACAAAGAGUAUUUGUUAUUUAUUCCAAAAUAUCAAUUCUGGCUUUCUGGCUCACUGACAUUUUCAGGAUUCUCCCCUGCUUUCUAAAUAUUUUUUUGCCUUAUUUUUCAAUUUUGCUGAUGAUACAAAUAAUACAUGUUCACCUUAAAUAAUUUUAAAAAGUGUAAAGACAUUGUAACUAAUAUAUAAUAUCUGACAUUCUACCAUUGUGGAAUAAUUACCAUUGACAUUUUGGUGAAUAUUUUUUCUUGCUUCUAUUUCUGCACCCUUAAAACAUACUGCUAAGUCUAGUCUCGAACUCCUGGUUUUGACAUCUACCAGCCUUAUUUUUAAUCUCAUUUUCAUUAAUGGGAUUAUAUCAUAAUAUCACUUUUAAUAUUGGAUAGAAUACUCUUCCUCACUUCAUAUUUUCCAUCUCUGCUUGUAUAUUUAUUUUGCAUUUCUAAGAAAUUAUGCAUAUUAAUAGACAGUUGUGUGUUGAUUUCUCUAUUGUUUCAUGAUUGUAUAAUUGAGGUAAUGCAUGCAGAUAGUCGAUCUAAAUUUCUAUUACUGAAUAUAAAAAUUUAUUAGUGAAGCAAAUUAAAUACUAUAUUAAUAUAUAUCUACAUAUAAUUCCAUGUAAAGACAAUUUGUGGCUAAGAAGAAAUUAUUCUAUGCAUAUAUGUAAAUUAAUACACAGGUACACUCACAUACACACCAUCUCCUUGACCUGAAAGACAGCAGUCUCAACCAUCUGAAAGAUUGCAAUCAAUCAGGAGGGAGGCCAUUACGAUUAUCAUCUAUUCCAAUAAAUAUCAUAAAAUUUGUAUACUUUAUUUAGAUCCCAUUAAGUUUCAUUUUAUCUACAUUUAUUUUAGGCACAAUUCUAAUAAACUUGGUUAUAUGAUUUCAAGCAUAUUAAAAGCAAAAUCUUGAAGAUGGUUAUAAUAGAAUACUAUACCCACCAUAUACAACCUAUCAAUUAGCAUAGGAAUUUGACUCUAAUUAAUGUUAGGGCUUAUACUCCUGAAUGAUCUUUGAAAAUCUGAGAGCCCAUUAAAAAGAACUGAUGUUCAAAUGAUGAUCCCAUGUCAUCAAGGAAAGGUUACAUUAUCUUCAGCUUCUUUUGCUUAAAAAGAAAAUCAAUGAAAAGUUUAAAAUGAUUUCAGAAAAAUUUGAAUUCAAAGGACUGGCAUUUAACCAAAGUUCUUGUUGCUUUAAUUUAUAACUAUCUUGUCAUCACCAUCACCAGUAAAAGCAGCAGCCACAGCAGCAUCAUAAUUUUUAUGACCCUUUUAAAGCAUCUAUUUGCAAGGUAUGCUGGAAGCUACUUAACAUUUUAGCUGAAUUAAUCCAACAACAACCUUAGAAAGAUAUUGUUAUGCUUAUGUUCAGAUAAAAAACAGGUUAAAAAAAUGAUAAGAAAUGAUGGAGUUCACUUUGGGAUACACUGAGUUUGAGGUGCCAUAAAGAGACAUUCAGGAGAUUUCAAUAGGCAAGAAAGAAAGAAGGAAAGAAAGAAAGAGAAAGAAAGAAAGAAAGAAAGAAAGAAAGAAAAGAAAGAAAAGAGGUGACUUGCCUAAGUUCUAGGCUUCUGCAGUAAAUUUUUUUUUUAUUUUUUAAUUUCUAAUUUUUGUGGGUACAUAGUAGGUGUACAUAUUUAUGGGGUGUAUGAGAUGUUUUGAUACAGGCAUGCAAUGUAAAAUAAUAAACUUAUGGAAAAUGGAGUAACCAUCCCCUCAAGCACAUAUCCUUUGUGUAACAAACAAUCCAAUUAUACUCUGUUAUUUUAAAAUGUACAAUUACGUUUUAUUGAUUAUAGUCACCUUGUUGUGCUAUCAGACACUAGGCCUUAUUCAUUCAUUCUAACUAUUUUUUGUACCCAUUAUCCCUCCCCAACUCCCCUUCACUACCUUUCCCAGUCAUUGGUAACCAUCUUUCUACUCCCUAUCUCCAUAGGUUCAAUUGUUUUGAUUUUUAGAUCCCACAAAUAAAUGAAACCAUGUGAUGUUUGUCUUUGUGCCUGGAUUAUUUCACUUAACAUAAUAAACUCCAGUUUCAUCUGUGUUGUUGCAAAUACAUGGAUCUCAUUCUUGUUUAUGGCUGAAUAGUACUCCAUUGUGUGUAAGCACCACAUUUCCUUUAUCCUGCAGUUAAUUUGAAUGUAUGUUUACUUUCUGAGCCUAUGCUUGCUC